UAGGGAAUCUUCCGCAAUGGACGCAAGUCUGACGGAGCAACGCCGCGUGAGUGAAGAAGGAUUUCGGUUCGUAAAACUCUGUUGUUAGAGAAGAACAGCGCAUAGAGUAACUGUUAUGCGUGUGACGGUAUCUAACCAGAAAGCCACGGCUAACUACGUGCCAGCAGCCGCGGUAAUACGUAGGUGGCAAGCGUUGUCCGGAUUUAUUGGGCGUAAAGCGAGCGCAGGCGGUCAAUUAAGUCUGAUGUGAAAGCCCCCGGCUCAACCGGGGAGGGUCAUUGGAAACUGGUUGACUUGAGUGCAGAAGAGGAGAGUGGAAUUCCAUGUGUAGCGGUGAAAUGCGUAGAUAUAUGGAGGAACACCAGUGGCGAAGGCGACUCUCUGGUCUGUAACUGACGCGGAGGCUCGAAAGCGUGGGUAGCAAUCAGG
Molecule: ribosomal RNA, 429 nt
Filed under: Bacteroidota bacterium
Lineage: Bacteria; Pseudomonadati; Bacteroidota
Description: Bacteroidetes bacterium partial 16S ribosomal RNA
Rfam family: Bacterial small subunit ribosomal RNA
Source: RNAcentral